Molecule: ribosomal RNA, 433 nt
Filed under: uncultured bacterium
Lineage: Bacteria
Description: partial 16S ribosomal RNA
Rfam family: Bacterial small subunit ribosomal RNA
Source: RNAcentral
AACGAACGCUGGCGGCAUGCCUAACACAUGCAAGUCGAACGAGACCUUCGGGUCUAGUGGCGCACGGGAGCGUAACGCGUGGGAACCUGCCCUUAGGUUCGGAAUAACUCCCCGAAAGGGGUGCUAAUACCGGAUAAUGUCUUCGGACCAAAGAUUUAUCGCCUUUGGAUGGGCCCGCGUUGGAUUAGCUAGUUGGUAGGGUAACAGCCUACCAAGGCGACGAUCCAUAGCUGGUCUGAGAGGAUGAUCAGCCACACUGGGACUGAGACACAGCCCAGACUCCUACGGGAGGCAGCAGUGGGGAAUAUUGGACAAUGGGCGAAAGCCUGAUCCAGCAAUGCCGCGUGAGUGAUGAAGGCCUUAGGGUUGUAAAGCUCUUUUACCCGGGAUGAUAAUGACAGUACCGGGAGAAUAAGCUCCGGCUAACUCCGUG